GCCCGGGUGGUCUAGUGGUAAGGAAUCCUCAAACUCAAUUUUCACCCGACUUUCAUCUAACAAUCAUCCCAGGUAUGAUUCGCGCUUAGGGUUCACCCAAAGCAUUGACUGCGCGAGGUCCCCGGUUCGAUCCCGGGCUCGGGCC
RNAcentral lists this transfer RNA (145 nucleotides) under Penicillium paxilli ATCC 26601. Its description in RNAcentral is "tRNA-Und (NNN) (tRNA-Und-NNN-5-1)". Lineage: Eukaryota; Fungi; Ascomycota; Eurotiomycetes; Eurotiales; Aspergillaceae. The record is from RNAcentral.